This is a long non-coding RNA of Pieris napi, 1166 nucleotides long. RefSeq lists it as uncharacterized. Lineage: Eukaryota; Metazoa; Arthropoda; Insecta; Lepidoptera; Pieridae. The transcript has 3 exons. The record is from RefSeq and is a predicted model, not a curated record.
GUCUAUAUAACCCGAUACUUGUAGAAAGAUUUAGUAUUGUGCUCUAAGUUCGGCAAAAGUGAAGUGGUUGAAAGUUUGAAAUAAUAAACAACAAUGGAGUCUUCAUACAACCUGAAAGAUGUGGAUAAAUGUUUCAGACCAUAUAAUUAUUAUAAUUUAUCUGAUGAUGAAGAAGAGGUUUUAAACAUAACAGAAAAUAAAAAUAAGAAGACCAAUCGUUUAGAUGACUUUUUUCUUCAAGAACCUGACCGGAAGAAGAAAAAAACUAAACUUUCUUCAAGUGUUGGCCGUGCAGGGAAGGAGGGAAGCAUUUCAUAUAUAUCGACUGAUAAAGAUGAUGGAAUGGACGCUGACAUACUUGUGAAAAUGGAAUUAUAUAGUUUAAAAAAGUUGAAAGAAAUCCCAGUGGCACAACAUUGGAAAAAUGCAGAUAUUCGUGUUAAAUAUUAUAUGAAAAACGAUUCCAACAUUGAUGUUCAGAUAAAGGAUAUUGUAUACAACAUAACAAAGGGGAUAUCCGAGGAAGAUAGUGUAAAACGUUACAGUUUUAAAAAUUAGUUUCAUUUAGUUUCUUCAUGCUUCAGAUUUUAAUACCAUAUGUUUAUAUAAUUAAGUAAUGUUUCAGUUUUCCACUAGUAUAAAUACUAUGUUGCAUUGUACAAAGUCAAUCAUUGUGCUUUUUGUUGAAGACCUUUGCGCAUUAAGGUUAAAAGUGUGAGACAAAAAACAGUUGUGAAACGAAUACAUAUAUACAAUGUCUCAAGAAUGUGUUAGUGUUUUUUUUGAUGAAAUGGAUCAUGAAUUUGAAAGCUUAUCCAUUGAUACAAUUGAACUUUUCAACGUUUGUGAGGAAAUAGAAAGAAAUGAUUUAAAUCACCCAUUUUAUGAUCAAAGAAUGAUGGUGCUAUGUGAUGAAUUCGAUGGGAAACUGGUUGAUCAAAUGGGUCGUGGAACUAAAAGGAAAGCAGCUGUUGAUAUUAACUCUGCUGACAUCAAAAGAAUAAAAUCUGGAUCGAACAUGGAUCUUUCACGGUCUUCACAAGAGCAAUCAACAUCGAAUGAAGGUAAUAAUUUUAACAUGAAAUUUUGCUGUAUUUGUAAUAGAAAUGUUUCCAAAAAAUAUUUCGCUAAUCAUCUAAGGAGCAAUGCACAUAAAAAUAAUGUAA